Danio rerio (zebrafish) is the source of this 71-nucleotide non-coding RNA. Lineage: Eukaryota; Metazoa; Chordata; Actinopteri; Cypriniformes; Danionidae. The record is from Rfam.
GCAUUGGUGGUUCAGUGGUAGAAAUCUUGCCUCCCAUGCGGGGGAGCCGUGUCCGAUUCCCGGCCAAUGCA